UGUAAAGUCUUCAUAUUUUGAUAAAGAUAUUAGUAACCAGAGAGUUCUUGCAAAAAUACUAAUAUAAUGCAAAAUAAAGAGAAACAAUUACAAUUUAACACAUCAUUCUUAUGUUUAUUAACCCACUUCUCACCUUAAAUCGUCUCCUAUGUUUCAUUCUCUACCCCCUCUCAAUCUCUACUGCGAAAACUGAAGAAACAUCACUGCCACCGGAAGCCCUCUCUUUUUCUUUUUCCUAAAAUUCUAACCCAUGCCAGAAAUCAAUGUGUUGUCGUCGUUCCUCUUUGUAGUAGCAACACGCAACCACCAAAAAAAUGAUCAACGAUGAGACAAUGAUAUUGGUUGUACAAUGGUUUUUGUUCAAAAUCUUGACAAUAAAGUCCCAAUUCCCACAUUUUGGUUCAAAUCCGGUAUGUAUUUGAUUUCUUGUUCCAAUUUAUGGUUUUUUUCGAUGGAAGCUUAAGAAUUUUUUAUAGAGUCGAAGCUUAAGGAUUUCCCAAGUUGUCAACAUUAUUUUCUUGGAAUUUAAACUAGGUUAGGAUGAUGUAAACAUGAUUACGAUUUGGAGACCCAAUUGUGGUCCAAUUUCAUCCCCAUGUUUCUAAUAUUUGAUUUUAAAAAUAGAUAGCUUGAAGGUUAAAAUUGGUUCCGGAACCCAUUUAAGUUUAUUGAAUUUAUUACAACCUGGUCAUGUUUAUGAUCUGAGUGUUCAUUCAUCCACAGGUGGCGGUGCCAAUGAGAGAUUAGAUCACGACUAAAAUCAAAGGUGGUGUAAAUGUCAUCUAGGUUUGAAAUUCAUUGGGUUGAAUUUGAAUCUAGUGUUAGAGGAAGAAUUAGGAUCGGAUAGGUUAGAGUGAAAGUUACUCACCACUCCAAAUCUCCAUUACCUUAAAUGCGGGUAGAUUAAGUUCGAAGGGAGUUUUGGAUGGACUAAUUAAGGAGUCCACCAUUGAUGACAAAAGGAGCUUAUGGAUUUUGAUGCAGCUGCAUUUGACAUGAAGAUUUGGGUUAGAAAUUUAUCAAGGUUUGGACCAGUUUCCGGAAUCAUGUAAUAUCUGUAAUUUUGUGGUGUUUCACAAUUUCAAGUACGCCUACAUCGAGGGUGAUAAAAAUUCUCUCAUCUCACAAGUACUCCGUUAUUAGAAUCUUUAAAGCGUUGGUAAUUUUUUUUUCUAGUCACUCCAUAUAAUGAUAUCCCUUAAUUUACCCCUAAAUCACAAGGGAACCACUAGUAAAUGUCAAAUUCAAAAUAUGCACUACUUCACCUCAAGUGACACAUCCUAAAGGAAUCACCACUUCAAAAACUUUUGAAACACUCCACGCGAUCUAUGCGUCUACCACCAUAACAAAACAUCCAUUGAUACAUCUUCGAUUAAACGUAAAUGAUUCUCGAUACAAAUAUCUAAAACAUUACAACACCAUUUAAAUGUUUUAUCCUAUGUUGAGACCACCCGCUUUGUCGAGUAUAACUCAAACGUUGUAACUUUAAUCAAACUGAUAAAAAAUUUCACAUAAAGCAGACUCAAAUUACUAUAAGUUCCCUGUUUUAUGUUUUCUCCAAUUUCUUAUCAAUUAUGAAUAAAGUUUUUUCACAACGUUGAUGGUGGUAUCAAAGACGCCAAU
Molecule: long non-coding RNA, 1623 nt
Filed under: Lactuca sativa (garden lettuce)
Lineage: Eukaryota; Viridiplantae; Streptophyta; Magnoliopsida; Asterales; Asteraceae
Description: long non-coding RNA (LSAT_LNC006204)
Source: RNAcentral